Molecule: ribosomal RNA, 600 nt
Filed under: uncultured bacterium
Lineage: Bacteria
Description: bacterial SSU rRNA
Rfam family: Bacterial small subunit ribosomal RNA
Source: RNAcentral
AGUACGGCCCGCAAGGUUGAAACUCAAAGGAAUUGACGGGGACCCGCACAAGCGGUGGAUGAUGUGGUUUAAUUCGAUGCAACGCGAAAAACCUUACCUACCCUUGACAUGUCAAGAAUCUUGCAGAGAUGUGAGAGUGCUCGAAAGAGAACUUGAACACAGGUGCUGCAUGGCCGUCGUCAGCUCGUGUCGUGAGAUGUUGGGUUAAGUCCCGCAACGAGCGCAACCCUUGUCAUUAGUUGCUACGUAAGGGCACUCUAAUGAGACUGCCGGUGACAAACCGGAGGAAGGUGGGGAUGACGUCAGGUCCUCAUGGCCCUUAUGGGUAGGGCUACACACGUCAUACAAUGGCCGGUACAGAGGGCUGCCAACCCGCGAGGGGGAGCUAAUCCCAGAAAACCGGUCGUAGUCCGGAUCGCAGUCUGCAACUCGACUGCGUGAAGUCGGAAUCGCUAGUAAUCGCGGAUCAGCUUGCCGCGGUGAAUACGUUCCCGGGUCUUGUACACACCGCCCGUCACACCAUGGGAGCGGGUUCUGCCAGAAGUAGUUAGCCUAACCGCAAGGAGGGCGAUUACCACGGCAGGGUUCGUGACUGGGGUG